GAUGAAGAACGUAUCGAAAUGCGAUAAGUAAUGUGAAUUGCAGAAUUCAGUGAAUCAUCGAAUCUUUGAACGCACAUUGCGCCCGCCAGUAUUCUGGCGGGCAUGCCUGUUCGAGCGUCAUUUCAACCCUCAAGCCCCAGCGGCCUGGUGUUGGGGACCGGCGACCUCGCCCGAGCCCGCCCUCCGGGGCGCGUGCCCGGUGCGUCCGCCGCCCCCGAAAUGAAUUGGCGGCCUCGUCGCGGCCUCCUCUGCGUAGUAGCACAACCUCGCAAGCGGGAGCGCGACGCGGCCACUGCCGUAAAACGCCCAACUUUUUUAGAGUUGACCUCGGAUCAGGUAGGAAUACCCGCUGAACUUAAGCAUAUCAAUAAGCGGAGGA
Molecule: unclassified non-coding RNA, 379 nt
Filed under: soil metagenome
Description: partial contains 5.8S ribosomal RNA, internal transcribed spacer 2, and large subunit ribosomal RNA
Rfam family: 5.8S ribosomal RNA (bases 1-120)
Source: RNAcentral